CGCUCCAUCUCUGCGCAGCUCCGGAUUCAAAGGCCCAAGCUCGGCAGCACCUGCCGGCACCGGAUCCGCGCUGGCACUUCCGCGCAAACCGCCGCGCUCCCGGAGCGGUGCGAGCAGCACCCGGCAGGAGCAGCGUCCUUCUCCCGAGACGCUGGUGCCUCCGUAUUUGUGGCUCAGGUCAAGCAGCUACUUUUUACCCCGUAUUUAAGCAGCGCGCGUGCGGGACGGUUACGGGGCAGCAGCGGGACGCGGGGCGCCGCAGCCGCCGUGCGGGGGAGCCCCAGCGGGCGCCGGGCAGCGGGGACGGAGCGCAAGGCGCCGCGCUGGCAGCGCUCGCCGAAGCCCCAAGCCGCAAGGCGGAAACUCCGCGGCGCGCUUCUAACGCGGCGGCUCUUCCCCAGGGGCAGCGGGCGGCGAAGGGGUGCGCGGCGGCGGCGGCCGCGGUUGCUCCCGCCGGGAAGAAGAGGAGCCGGGGGGGGGAUUGCUGAGGAACCGCCGCGAGGGCCAGAGACCGGCGUAACUCACCUGGGCGUCGGGCGGCGGCGGCAGCGGGGAGAGGCGCCCCCGCCUCGCGGCCCUCGCGCCGGGCCGGGAACGGCGGCAGCGGGGGUCCGCGUCUCCUUCUCCUCCUCCUCCUCCUCCCGGCGGGCGGCGGCGGGAGCCGCGGUGAGGAGCGCCGCAGGAAUUUCCUCCCGCCUCCGGGAAGGGCAGCCGGUUCCCGGCUCCCGGGGGCGGGGGCUCCUUCCCUCCCUCCUUCGCUCCCUCACCGCGGCGCCAACCGCCGCCCCCUCGCGGAGGCGCCCGCCGAGGAGGCCGCGGGGCCCGGCCGCCGCGGGGCGAGGGGGGCUGCCGGCGGCGGGGGCCGGGCUGAGCCGGGGGGCGGGCGAAGAGAGGGGGGGAGGCAGCGGGAGGCGGAGGACUGGAAGGAGCGGGAGGAGGAGUGAUGUCUCCCCGACGUUUGUGCCUGGGGGGCCCGGGGUCCCCGCGUCCCCUCGGCCCUUCUCGGGCACCAGGGGAAGGCGGUGGUGCCCUGCCUGGGGAGGCAGYUGGGGUGAGGAGGAGCUGCCGAAAUGGCGGGGCCUGGGGCCCUGGGCUUCCCCGGCCCCCCUGGCGCUGCGUGACUGCCUUGCGUGCGCCUUUCAGAGAAACCCUGGGAAUCCCAUGCAGAAACRGCACUAA
This 1179-nucleotide long non-coding RNA is filed under the name Apteryx haastii (Great spotted kiwi). RNAcentral's name for it is "lncRNA (ENSAHAG00000007941.1)". The record is from RNAcentral. Lineage: Eukaryota; Metazoa; Chordata; Aves; Apterygiformes; Apterygidae.